CUUGGUCAUUUAGAGGAAGUAAAAGUCGUAACAAGGUUUCCGUAGGUGAACCUGCGGAAGGAUCAUUAUUGAAUAAACCUGAUGUGACUGUUAGCUGGCUUUUCGAAGCAUGUGCUCGUCCAUCAUCUUUAAUCUCUCCACCUGUGCACAUUUUGUAGUCUUGGAUACCUCUCGAGGCAACUCGGAUUUUAGGAUCGCUGUGCAGCUUUCCUCUCAUUUCCAAGACUAUGUUUUUAUAUACACCAAAGUAUGUUUAAAGAAUGUCAUCAAUAGGAACUUGUUUCCUAUAAAAUUAUACAACUUUCAGCAACGGAUCUCUUGGCUCUCGCAUCGAUGAAGAACGCAGCGAAAUGCGAUAAGUAAUGUGAAUUGCAGAAUUCAGUGAAUCAUCGAAUCUUUGAACGCACCUUGCGCUCCUUGGUAUUCCGAGGAGCAUGCCUGUUUGAGUGUCAUUAAAUUCUCAACCUUCCAGCUUUUAUUAGCUUGGUUAGGCUUGGAUGUGGGGGUUGUGGGCUUCAUUAAUGAGGUCAGCUCUCCUUAAAUGCAUUAGCGGAACUUUUGUGGACCGUCUAUUGGUGUGAUAAUUAUCUACGCCGUGGAUGUGAAGCAGCUUUAUGAAGUUCAGCUUCUAAUCGUCCAUUGACUUGGACAAAUUUUGACAAUUUGACCUCAAAUCAGGUAGGACUACCCGCUGAACUUAAGCAUAUCAAUAAGCGGAGGA
RNAcentral lists this ribosomal RNA (721 nucleotides) under uncultured Laccaria. RNAcentral's name for it is "eukaryotic LSU rRNA". The stretch from base 299 to 452 matches the Rfam family "5.8S ribosomal RNA". Lineage: Eukaryota; Fungi; Basidiomycota; Agaricomycetes; Agaricales; Tricholomataceae. The record is from RNAcentral.